AGAUUAAAUUUCGUGACUGUUUCACAAACUGCUGUGAGUUGGGGUUGACUGUAACUACAUUUACUUUGUGGGUUUACGGAUUAAAUUAGAAAAAGCCCUGCAUCCACAACUGGAACAUUUACUGUUUGGAAGUUGGUCUAACACCAGUUCUAGAUGCUACUAUGUCAGAGUUUAGGGUAAUAUACUGGUGGAUUUGGGGAGGUUUAACUGUGACAUAAACUCAUCAGUGAGUCCUCAUUCACAAAGCCUUUUCUCCUAAAAGUGAAACACAUAAAAGUGAAACACAUUGUACGAAAAUACUACCAUUAAAGCAUAAAGCUAACCUCCGUGUUUCCUGUCCAAGUUGCAGGAUAGAAUGAUGCUACUUAUUUGUUUCCAUGUCUUCUACAUAGAUCAUCAACUGGUGAGGAUGCAAACUUUUACCUGAGACCUGUUUUUAGACUGUUUUAGUCUAUUUUGCAUCAUCACUCAGUCCUGAAUUAUGUUUGUUUCAAAUACAUAUCUAAGACCCUUUUGCAGAGUUCUAAUGAUCAUACAAAUCAGCUUAAGACAUUUAAAAGCCAUAAGGAACUGGAUUUUUAACCAAAUCACAGAGAUACUGUUAAUUCACAGGAUUAACAUUGAUUGGCUAGCUAGCUACAGUUUAGUAAAUCUGCCAACACAGUUGUCAUUUCAGCCAGCAAAAUCAGCAGUUGCCAAUACGAAAUUAAAAGCUUAAUUACAAGGACCCAUGGAUUCAAAAGCCGUCAAAUUUCACGUGGUAGAUCUGCCACCGUUACAACUGCAAACUGCAUACAUGCUGUGCUACAUUAGAAAGCAACGUGCGUAGCAAUAGUAACUGAGGGGUGGAAGUUUAGCGUGGUAUGUGUUUUUCAAGCUUUAAAUGAAGCAUUUGUAACUUGGACCGCCUCAGAAAGGCAAGCAUGAGAGAGCAGAAAGUCUGUGGUCCCUCUGACUCUGUGUGUGUGUGUGUGUGUGUGUCUGUGUCUGUGUCUGUGUCUGUGUGCAGGCGGCUGGGGUUGGAGGGGGGUUGCUUAUGCAUUAACACAGACAUAAACAGAUCAGCAUGUCUACAGUGUACUGCUUCACUCUGAGUCCCACCUCCUUGUGUCACGCCCACGGGCGGCAUCAGAAGAACAGGCGCUGGAAGUGAGCAGUCCUCCUUCAUUCACAACCCACCCCCCCAAAAAAAACCAACAGAAAACGCACUUAUCUAUGCUGGGGCCACCUGCCACUGCAGGCCUGUCCUUUGUGUAGAUGUCUGUAUAAGCCUGGGAUUCUGUUACCCUGCUCCCCAGGGAGAGCAGACGCUGCUGUAGCCCAGCUACUGGUAGACUGGAUGCUUGGACAGGAUGACAUACAGGCUUGUCAGUGACAGGUGGAAGUACAUCUCUUAUUAUCUGAGCAGAUAUAGACAGCACAUGUCCAGCAACACUUCUGGAGGUAGCUUCUGUUCCACUACCUUUCAUUGCUUAAUGAAAAUUUCACACUUUAUUUUACAGUACACUGAUAAGACGUACUUUAUAUCUAUUAAGACAAAAACUAGAAAUAAUAUGUUCUUUAUUAGACUGUAAACAAACACAGUUAUACCCUAAUUAGACACCAUACACCUAAAUUAUGCUGUAAUUAGAAACUGCAUAUAAUGCCAUAUUAGACCCACAAUAGACACUGGUAUACCAAAUUAUGCUCUAAUUAGAAUUAUAAGCUAUUAGAAUCCCAUUUUACAAGAUCAUAGUCUAAUUAGAAAUCAAAUACAAUGCCAUAUCAGAUCCAAAAUAUCCCAGCAAACAUUGUUCCCACAGCGACAUUGUGUCACUGGCCAAAAUUGGCUCCAGAUGCCAAAAACAGCAACAUGCACCUGAAAUGCAAAUUAUGAAUCUCAAGUCACGUGUGCACAUAUUUGGAAUACAGAUAUGCAGGUGUAAGUGUCAGUUUCUCCUAAUGAAUAUCAGGUCUAAUCCAAUUUUUGUUUAAAAACUGUUGUAAGCAGACGGUCACAGGGUGUCAUCCUUGCCACGUUCAAUAAAGGUCCACCUGGACCUGACUUCAAAAACACUUCAAAUACUUCUCAAAGUUUCACUGUGCAGCACAUCUAUGGGUGUUUUGUUUUCGUAUUUUUCAUACAAAAGCUUUUUUAUUCAUUAAUUGGUUGAGAGCAGAUUAUCAUAGAGGGACGUCCUCUCCACAUAGAAUCAACAUCGUUGGGCGUUAUAUGUUUUAAACAGUUCAGCAGUGAUGUGAGCUUCGUCUGGGUUAAUAAAAGUUACGAAGGGUUUACUAUUGAGACACAUAUCUUCAUCAUGGAUGUAUUAUCUUCAUGCUUGUGGGCGAGACACGCUCCCGUCUCACGAGAAUACAUGUAGUUCACUACAAGAGUUGAGAGCAGAGAAUGUACAUGCUGCUCGCAACAGGACCAAGAAGACAGAAAUGGUGCAGAAAUAACUGUCAGAGUUACAACGAGGAUUAACAGCAGCUGCAGCUGUUUACAUCCUGGAGUUAGCAUUAGCAUUAGCCUGCACCACCUUGAUGGAAACUGGAGAAAAGUGCAUUAGACUGAAUUAAAAGAAUUAAGAAUUCAAAUUGUUAUAUUAUCUACAGAAAGGUGUACUUUUGAUGAUCAUCUUUCAUCAGUGUUGUUUAUCCAAAUGAAAUACUGUUGCACGUUAAUAUUGACUCAGUGUGUUUCUGUAAAAAUGAAUGCAUAUGUCUUAACUAAGAUACUUAAUGUGUUUGCUGAGUGUUUGGUUAUAUAUCAUUUAUUAUAAGGAUUUUCUUGAAAGUGACAUUAAGAUGUAUAACAGACGUCUGGGUCAGACAGGACGUUGGUUGGACCAUUUUAGAACAUAAAGCAUAUUAAGUUGUUAAUCUGGACAUAUAGAAUGUAUAAAGCUGCAGAAUGCAUAAUAAUACAUACAUUUUAGCAGAACAACUGAAUGGAAACAUUGAUGAUGGUAAUGACAUAUUUUGACAUUGCUGGUAGACACAGGAAGGACAUCCAGCAUGGGACCAGCCGAAGAAGGUGUAGGUAUGUCUCAAGUAGCAGAUAUGUGAUUUCAAUUUAGUUUACAGUACAGUUCUGUUGUAAUGUGUUGCAAAUUACCCUCUAAGAAAGUCUAAUAAUGGUCUAACAGUGGAAAUAAAGAUGCAAUGUCCUGGCAGCUUCCAUAGCCUAAUGUUACUGGGUGUCAAGGAAGCAUGUAUUAGGCUAUGUAUUACUACCUACAAACUCCAUGGAACUCCAGAAAACAUCCAGGCUACGAGGGAUGUGUGAAGUAGUGACCAGAUGUGACCCGAUGUGGUUUGACUUAAGUUUACAGUACAGUUUUCUUCUAAUGAGCAACAAAUGGCCCUAUAAGAGAGUGAAACUAUGUUAAAUAAAGGCCAAAUAAAUGCAUUGUCCUCUGAGCUCUCAGUGUUUUGUCUGACUAUUAAAAAGGUUAUGCCCAAUAAAUUUGUGUAAUUACA
Long non-coding RNA from Thunnus maccoyii (southern bluefin tuna), 3465 nucleotides. RefSeq lists it as uncharacterized. The transcript is spliced from 2 exons. The record is from RefSeq and is a predicted model, not a curated record. Lineage: Eukaryota; Metazoa; Chordata; Actinopteri; Scombriformes; Scombridae.